GUUUAUGUAGCUUAUUUAAAGCGUGGCGCUGAAGAUGCUAAGAUAGAUUUUAGAAUAUCUCAAAAACA
Molecule: transfer RNA, 68 nt
Filed under: Salamandrella tridactyla (Schrenck's Siberian newt)
Lineage: Eukaryota; Metazoa; Chordata; Amphibia; Caudata; Hynobiidae
Description: tRNA-Phe
Rfam family: tRNA
About the family: Transfer RNA (tRNA) molecules are approximately 80 nucleotides in length.
Source: RNAcentral